AUUGAACGCUGGCGGCAUGCUUUACACAUGCCAGUCGAACGGUAACAGGCCUUCGGGUGCUGACGAGUGGCGAACGGGUGAGUAAUGCAUCGGAACGUACCCAGAGGUGGGGAUAACGCAGGGAAAACUUUGCUAAAACCGCAUUUGUACCGAAGAUGAAAUCCGGGGGACGGGCAGCGAUGUUUGGCCCCGGGGCUUUUGAACGGGCGGAUGUCGGAUUAGCUAGUUGGUGGGGUAAAGGCCUACCAAGGCGACGAUCCGUAGCUGGUCUGAGAGGACGACCAGCCACACUGGGACUGAGACACGGCCCAGACUCCUACGGGAGGCAGCAGUGGGGAAUUUUGGACAAUGGGCGCAAGCCUGAUCCAGCAAUGCCGCGUGCGGGAAGAAGGCCUUCGGGUUGUAAACCGCUUUUGGCAGGAACGAAACGGUGUCCGCUAAUACCGGGCGGUAAUGACGGUACCUGAAGAAUAAGCACCGGCUAACUACGUG
RNAcentral lists this ribosomal RNA (492 nucleotides) under uncultured bacterium. RNAcentral describes it as "partial 16S ribosomal RNA". It matches the Rfam family "Bacterial small subunit ribosomal RNA", at positions 29 to 507 of the family's 1533-position model. The record is from RNAcentral.